GGGAGGGCGACGGGUCGCCGCCUCCCUCGCCCACCGAAGCGGGGGGACGGGGCCUAGCGGGGCGGAACCGCCGCGCGAAGGCGGGUGAGCGGGGCCUCGGCGCGCUUCUUUCCGAAGAUGACACCAGUUACUCGACAAGAAGUGCUUGGCCUUUACCGCAAGAUAUUCAAAAUAGCCAAAAAAUGGCAAUCGGCAUCAGGACAGAUAGAAGAAACUAUUAAAGAGAAGGAGUACAUUAAAAAUGAAGCCAAAACACUAUUCCGAAAAAACAAAAAUGUAACAGAUCCAAAGUUGAUUAAGCAGUAUAUAGAAGAAUGUGAGGCAAGAAUAGAAAUUGGACUUCACUAUAACAUCCCGUACCCGCGACCUAUCCAUCUGCCUCCUAUGGGUCUUGCCCAUAAACAAGGCCGUACAUUGCGACACCAGGAAAAGUUAAGGAAGAUUUCUAAGCCAAUAUACCUGAAAUCCCAUGAUGAAGUUUCAUAACCCAUGAUUUAAGCUGUGAUAUGUAAUCACAUCAUUUAAGCUGUGGACUGCAAUCCAGGUGAUUUGUGUGCACAACUGUGAAUGAAGUUGUUUUGGUCACUUGCUCACAUAUUUCCUGAGACCAAAAAGCUCAUCAUAUGCAUUGCAUAUGAUGGGUAAGUGUUUUAAGAAUGAUUAUUGUUGCCCCAGCUUCCCUUUCAGCAGUGCCUCAGCAGCGACAGGUAAGCUGUUACCAGUCACUUGCAUGCAUAAGCUCAAAUCUAAAUAGAAAGAUCCUUUUGAGAGCAGUGACUGAAUUGAUCAAUCCAUAGGGAAGGAUCUAACAGCCAGGUCCAACCUCUUCGGCCUGCAUGCAAAGCACCUGUAAGAGGAGGCUUGUGACUGGUUUAUCUCUGAUGCCACAGUAACCUAUUAGUGAUCUGAAUUGUUGAUGUGAUAACAACAACAAUUAGAUGCAGCCAUUAAAAAAUACGGUAACUACCACAAUGUUUUUUUUAAAUAUGUAGUAAAUUUCAGUUAAUUUUCAUUAUAUGAUAAGUACAAAGUAUCUGUGUUACUCUUAUGAAGCCUAAGAAAAGACAAUUUUUUUAAAGGACCAAUUUUAAUUAAUCUUAGUUUAUUUAUAGAUCUUCUGAAACACAAUUCUCGUCUCAAAAAUUGUUGUCAAUUUGGAUAACUGCUGUAGCAUUCAUAAACAAGUUUUAUUUUUGCUAUAGGUGCCAAAUAUCAGUCUAAAUUGUUAAGAGUAGUUUCUUCCUACUAGUAAGUUGAAACACCUGCACAUCUCUGUUGCCUUUAUUAAAACAAAUAUCCAUUAAGUGUCCAGCCCUGACAUCUUUGCCCUAGUCACCAGGUAACAAUAAUGAUGCACCAAAUGCCUGCGUACUGUACUGUUAAUGAGGCAUCAAAUAUGGUACAUAUAGUACAUGAAGAUACUGUACUAGUUACCUAUGUAUAUCUUUGUGCAGAGCAGCACUCUACAACAUACCUGUAACACUUCUUGCUUACCUGUAUGUUACCAUUCUUAAAAGUUACUAUUUUAUGAAUAUCUGUAUAAAACAAACCAGUGGUUAAUAAAACAAUAAUGAACACUGUUUUCACCUAUAACUGCUAAGCACAGCACAACAGAAAUUCCUGUGACAAGAACCAUGUUUUAAUGAGUUGUAGCAGCAUCACUUAAUGAUUGUAGCAGGGUACUGGGAACUGCUGAAUUAUAGCUGCAUCUCUGACUUUGUGAGGCCUCGAGCAAGUGAUUAAAAUGCUGCAAUUUGGGCAACAACAAAAAAAAAUAAUACAAGACCCCAAAUUAGUGGAUGUUUAUGCAGUGGGUUUUUUUUUUAAAUGUUUGCCUUGAUCUUUGAGCUUCUCUUGUACUGUGUACACAACAAGUCUAAUGAUGCAUUUUUAGUACCUUCUUCGCAUGCUGUGGGGAUUAGUUAAUGACUGCACAGCUCUUUGAAGAUGUUCAGGCUAUUUUAUUUUUAAUUAAUGUUUGCAAGCUACUUUGGGCUUCUCUGAUGAAAGGGCUUAAACAAGUACAAAACUUCAGGUGGUUAUUAGUCCAACAUGCAAGAGGGCAAGACGAGGAAGUAAAAUGAGACUAUGGGAGAAAGGAAACAGGUCCGUUUAUCAGGCACCUGGGAUAUGUAGGUAAAUAAUACUGAAAUAAAAAAAAAGUUUAAAAAAAUAUGAGACAAGCAUACUGCUCUGCAAAAUGACAGGCUCCCAAUGCAUGUGCUGUCCAGAAGUUUUCCACAGAAAUUCUGAGGCACAUCUUCAAGGAGUGUCAGUUACUAUAGUUUUAUAAUACAGCUCUGGCAGUUCAUUCUAGCUGAGGAUUGGUUUUACAUGUUGACAACACACUAUUCUCAUCUCCUCCCUUUUUGCCAUACAUACUCUUGGGACACAGAAGUAGUAGGCAAAUCCACAGAGUCUUAUUUGCAAGAGUUGUGGAUUAGAUUCCCAUUAAAAUCAGCAGCAAAA
Haliaeetus leucocephalus (bald eagle) is the source of this 2469-nucleotide RNA transcript. It is a transcript of the gene named LYR motif containing 1, with no coding region annotated. The record is from RefSeq and is a predicted model, not a curated record. NCBI's taxonomy places the organism in Eukaryota, Metazoa, Chordata, Aves, Accipitriformes, Accipitridae. The transcript is spliced from 5 exons.